GACGAACGCUGGCGGUGUGCUUAAUACAUGCAAGUCGAACGAUAAGGCCCUUUCGGGGUACGAUAAGUGGCGGACGGGUGAGUAAUGCGUAGGUAAUCUGCCUCGAGGCGGGGGAUAACGUUGGGAAACUGACGCUAAUACCCCAUAUGUGAUAUCUUGAAAUAGAUAUUAUGAAAGUUCCGGCGCCUUGAGAUGAGUCUGCGUCUGAUUAGCUAGUUGGUGGGGUAAGAGCCUACCAAGGCGACGAUCAGUAGCUGGUCUGAGAGGAUGAUCAGCCACAAUGGGACUGAGACACGGCCCAUACUCCUACGGGUGGCAG
Molecule: ribosomal RNA, 319 nt
Filed under: uncultured cyanobacterium
Lineage: Bacteria; Bacillati; Cyanobacteriota
Description: bacterial SSU rRNA
Rfam family: Bacterial small subunit ribosomal RNA
Source: RNAcentral